Molecule: non-coding RNA, 979 nt
Organism: Bactrocera oleae (olive fruit fly)
Lineage: Eukaryota; Metazoa; Arthropoda; Insecta; Diptera; Tephritidae
Source: RefSeq, a predicted model, not a curated record
CAGCAAUUUCGAGAAUGUUGACUUUAGUUAACUUGUAUUUAUAAUAUUAUUACAUUUAAUACUGCUAAAUAUUAUUAAAAAUUUUAAUUAAAUAUAAUAUAAUUGAGUUUUUUAUCGUUAUUCACAAUUUUUCAAUUUUUCGCUUAUUCAUCGACAGCUCUAUUAAAAGCUUGAAAGCCGUUUUAUUACACAACGGAAAUAAAUUUUCAUCCCUUCCAAUUGCUCACUCGGUACAUUUGAAAGAAAAUUAUGAUAGUGUUAAAAUCUUGCUUGACGCAGUAAAAGCGGAUAUACCAAGUUUCCGUGCUAUCAUGGGUAUGGGACAGCAGAGCGGAUGCUAAGCACUACAUUCAGCGGUCUUGGCCUGAAAGAACCGAAUUUUGUAUCGGGAAACAAAACGUAAAAUUCAGUUCUAUUGUGGAAGCAGAAAAAGUGUUAUUGCCACUUCUCCAUGUUAAGUUGAGAUUGAUCGGAAGCAAAGGUUAAAGCUGGGAUUUCUGUUGGUCCACAAAUUAGAAAAAUUUUCGCCGGUGAAUAAUUUCCAAAGUUGCUAACUGGCAUUCAAAAGGCAAGUUGGAACAGUUUCAAAGCAGUAGAUUCUGGAUUUUUAGGAAAUAAUAAAGCUAAAAACUAUGAAAAGUUAGUUGCAAAUACAAUAUGUUAACAAAUUUUAAGGCAAUGGGAUACAGAAUGUCUUUAAAAGUAUAUAUGCUACAUGCCCAUUUAGAUAAGUUUCGGAACAACAUGGGAGCGUAUUAUGAGGAGCAAGGAGAGCUCUUUCAUUAGGACAGCAUGAACUUUGAACAGCGAUAUCAGGCCCAAUAUAAUGAAAACAUGAUGGGAGACUAUAUUUUCGGUUUAUAAAGAGAAAGCACUAAUGAACACAAAAAAAAGCAAAACUGUACACUUUUAACUCAUUUUCUGUUCUUUUGUAAGUUAUUUGAAUAGUGAAACUUAAUAAAAAUUAUAAAUACAUUUA